This 75-nucleotide transfer RNA is filed under the name Candidatus Nomurabacteria bacterium RIFCSPHIGHO2_01_FULL_43_16. RNAcentral describes it as "tRNA-His". It matches the Rfam family "tRNA". From Rfam's summary of the family: Transfer RNA (tRNA) molecules are approximately 80 nucleotides in length. Lineage: Bacteria; Candidatus Nomuraibacteriota. The record is from RNAcentral. RNAcentral also lists the same sequence under 10 other names.
GUGCCUAUGGUGUAAUGGUUAGCACUAGAGCUUGUGGAGCUCUUAGUCAGGGUUCGAAUCCCUGUAGGCACCCCA